AGAUCUGCACGGCUUUCAAGAGACCAAAUCUCAGAAGACAAGGUUUGGAAUGUAGAAGGACUGUGCUAGCAGUGUUUCUGUAGAAUGGCCCCUUUGUUUUCAUAGACCAGUAUAAUUUAGCUGUCAGUUUCCCCUGUAAGUUUGUACUGUUGGUUUUACUUAUGUCAGUGAGAGCUCAUAUCACUGUAACUGCAAUUUAAUGAAUAUAAUACUUUACUGAGAUGAAAAGGAGAAUCUGUAUAGUACAUAACUCAUGAAUCAGAUUUUACAGUAGACCUAUCUGCAUGCAUGCAUACAUACAUACAUACAUACAUACAUAUGUGCAUGCGUUUGUUUUGUUUUGGAUCAUUCUUUAGGAUCAGAAAAAGGCAUGCAUACUUCAUAGAAAUGAUCACGCCAAGACCAGAGUCAAAGAAAAGUUUAAAAAUUCUGAAAUCAAGAAAAUAUGCAUUACUGACAAUCAGUUUCAAGUUUUUACUGUAAGUUCCAAUGCAUUCUUUGACCACAAUUUAAAUCUGGAAUCAAGUGAAACAGAAAUCCCAAAGCUGCAGGAUGAUCUGAGGAAUCUUAACAAGAGCAUUAACAGAGAACUGACCAGAGAUUAUGUCAAUAAAGCAAAGGGAGUUUUGUCCUUGAUCCAAAGCGGCCAGCUGGAUACAGACAAGAAAACGGUACGAGUCAGAAUUAGAAUCUUCAGAAUGCUGCCAUUGUGUAUUAUUCUGUAAUUCACUGCUGUUGUA
This 740-nucleotide long non-coding RNA is filed under the name Sinocyclocheilus anshuiensis. Its description in RNAcentral is "lncRNA (ENSSANG00000030060.1)". Lineage: Eukaryota; Metazoa; Chordata; Actinopteri; Cypriniformes; Cyprinidae. The record is from RNAcentral.